UUUGGACCUCCGGCCCGCCGUCUGGCCCCUUCCAGCGUUCAGGCUCCCAGUGGUCACGCUGGGGCUUCGUGUCUGCCCCCGUAGUGGUCAGUGCUCAGGAUGGAACCCAGGGGCUCACUCAUGCUAAGCAAGUGCUCUACCACUAAGCCACACAUCCAGCCCUGGUUGCACGUUAUGAAUACGAGGUCUUGCUAUGUAGCCCAGACUGGCCUUGAACUCU
This is a long non-coding RNA of Chinchilla lanigera (long-tailed chinchilla), 220 nucleotides long. RefSeq lists it as uncharacterized. The record is from RefSeq and is a predicted model, not a curated record. NCBI's taxonomy places the organism in Eukaryota, Metazoa, Chordata, Mammalia, Rodentia, Chinchillidae. The transcript has 3 exons.